GUUCAAUGCUGCCAACUUACUAGAACAGAAAUGGCAGGCAUUUUAAAAGUUGCAUUCUUUAUGGGAUACCCUUUAUGUUAUAUGCCCCACACUAUAGCUAAAUUGUUUACGUUAGAUCUAAGGCAUAGCACCAUGCUAGUGAAACAUUUUUGGGAGAUUUAUCAUGAAUUCUUGGAAAUCUUAUUAAUAAGAUCUUCAUGUUUUUCCACUUUUCAGAAUUUCAAAUUUGUUUCUACUAAAUAUUUAUUUUCAUAAUUAUUAACUUUUCUAAGAAUCUUUGCAUCAUCCUAUUUAAUAUUUAUAUCAUUUUUAUAAGCCGUCUU
RNAcentral lists this long non-coding RNA (323 nucleotides) under Androctonus crassicauda. The record is from RNAcentral. Lineage: Eukaryota; Metazoa; Arthropoda; Arachnida; Scorpiones; Buthidae.